RNAcentral lists this ribosomal RNA (494 nucleotides) under uncultured bacterium. RNAcentral describes it as "partial 16S ribosomal RNA". It matches the Rfam family "Bacterial small subunit ribosomal RNA", at positions 28 to 507 of the family's 1533-position model. The record is from RNAcentral.
GACGAACGCUGGCGGCGCGCUUAACACAUGCAAGUCGAACGGAAAGGCCUGCUUUCCCUUGCGGCUUGCGGGUACUCGAGUGGCGAACGGGUGAGUAACACGUGAAUGAUCUGCCCCCAACUCGGGUAAAAGCCUGGGAAACUGGGUCUAAUUCCCGAAAGGCCUGCAGGGUGGUGCCUGUGGUGGCAAAAGAUUUUUAAGUGGACGGGGAUGAGCGCGCGGCCCAUCGGCGUGUUGGUGGGGGAAUGGCCUACGAGGGCGGCGACGGGCAGCCGGCGAGAGAGUGGGGACCGCCACUUUGGGGCUGAGCUGCGGCCCUGGCUCCUACGCGAGGCAGCAGUGGGGACUGUUGGCCGCAGUGCGGAAUCCUGCUGCAGCGACGCCGCGUGGGUGAUGCCGGCCUUCGUGUUGUAAACUCCAUUCGGUCGCGAGGAACCCACUUGGUUGGGAGGGUGGUGACUGUAGUGGUAGAGGAAGCACCGGCUAACUACGUG